CCAAAAUUCUCAUUCUGACUCUUUAAUCUCAACCCUUCCUUCCUUAUCACACACACCCCUUUCCCCUUUCUUCUUCUUCUGCUUCUUCUUCUUCUUCUUCUUCUUCUUCUUCUUCUUCAUUUCUUUCUUAUUUGUAUUUGGAUUACUCCUUCAUUUCAAUUCCCUCUCCUUCUACUCUCUCUCUCCAUUAUCCAUUUAUCUUCUCCCCAAUUUCCCCUCUUCCUUUUAACUCUCUUCUUCUUCUUCUUCUUCUUCUUCUUCUUCUUCUUCUUCUUCAGUUAAUUUCUUCUUCACACCAAAAAAAACAAUGGCACCAAGGAACAGCCAUGGCAAGCCUAAAGCUCAUGAUAAGAAGAAGAAGAAGGAAGAGAAGGUUCUUCCAGCUGUUAUGGACAUCUCUGUUCUUCUUCCUGAUGACACCCAUGUUGUCUUAAAGGGAAUAUCAACGGACAAAAUAAUAGACGUUCGUCGGCUACUUUCUGUCAAGACCGAGACAUGCAAUAUUACCAAUUUCUCCCUUGCUCAUGAGGUAAGAGGGCCUCGGUUAAAGGAUUCGGUGGACGUGUCCGCACUGAAACCGUGCACCCUAACGUUAGUGGAAGAGGACUACGACGAGGAGCUUGCGGCGGCGCACGUUCGGCGACUCCUUGACGUCGUCGCUUGCACCACGUGUUUUGGAACGUUACCUUCGGGGAAGGAUCAGAAUGGCGGUAAGCUUGACAGUAAUGGCAGGAACUUGUCCGGUGCUCUGGAUAAGAAAGCGAAAAAGUCCCCGAACUCCGCUGCUUCGACCGUCUCCGGUAAGUUCGACGGGUCUGCAGCUAAGCAAGAUGAUUCGGAGGCGGAGAUCAGUCAUUCGUGCCCUAAACUUGGAACGUUCUACGAUUUUUUCUCUCUCUCCCACCUCACGCCUCCUCUUCAAUUUAUACGGAGAGUGACUAAGCAGGCAGUGGAUGGAAUUUUGCCAGACGACCAUCUCUUCUCGCUUGAAGCAAAGCUUUGCAACGGGAAGGUUGUGCGCGUGGAAUCUUGCAGGAAGGGAUUCUUUUGUGUUGGAAAACACCGGAUUUUGAGUCACAACCUGGUUGAUUUAUUACGCCAGCUGAGUAGAGCCUUCGAUAACGCAUAUAGAGAUCUCAUCAAAGCAUUCUCAGAACGCAACAAGUUUGGAAAUCUUCCUUACGGGUUUAGAGCCAAUACAUGGCUUGUUCCUCCUGUGUCAGCACAAUCGCUCUCAGUUUUCCCUCCUCUUCCUGUGGAAGAUGAAAGUUGGGGAGGAAAUGGUGGUGGUCUAGGAAGGGAUGGUAAAAGUGACUUGAUACCAUGGGCCAGUGAGUUUCUAUUUCUAGCAUCUAUGCCUUGCAAGACGGCAGAAGAGAGACAGAUUCGAGACAGAAGGGCUUUCCUUCUGCACAGCCUUUUUGUUGAUGUUGCCAUUUUCAGAGCCAUUAAAGCAAUUAAACAUGUUAUAGCAGUGUCAAAAGUGGACCAUUUAGUUUCAGAGGGUGAAGUUCUCUUUACCGAGAGGGUAGGGGAUUUAAAAGUUACGGUUGCAGCAAAGGAUGUUCCUGAUGCAAGUUGCAAGGUAGAUACCAAAAUCGAUGGAAAACAGGCCAUUGGAAUGGACCAAAAGAACCUGGUGGAAAAGAAUUUAUUGAAGGGAAUCACUGCUGAUGAAAAUACUGCUGCCCAUGAUACUGCAGCCCUAGGUGUCAUAAAUGUGAGAUAUUGUGGUUAUAUCUCUACAGUGAAAGUCGAGCAGAAAGAGAACGAGAAAGUUAGUUCUCAAUAUCAAAUCAUUGAACUUCUUGACCAGCCUGAAGGUGGUGCCAAUGCCCUUAACAUUAACAGCUUGAGAUUAUUGCUUCACCAAACUACACCUUCGGAGCACAACAGAUCUCUCACACAUUUGCAAAGUAUGGACCAAGAAGAGCUUGGUGCUGCCCAAGCUCUCAUAGAGAAACUGUUAAAAGAAAGUCUUGUCGAGCUUGAAAAGGAGGAGACACAACCUAAUCAUUUUGUUAGAUGGGAACUUGGAGCCUGCUGGAUUCAACAUUUGCAAGAUCAAAAGAACACAGAAAAAGAUAAGAAACCAUCCAGUGAAAAGGCCAAGAAUGAAAUGAAGGUGGAGGGACUAGGGACACCUCUCAAAUCUCUUAAGAAUAAGAAAAAGCAAGAUAUGAAAACAUUAAAGAUGCAAGCUAAAAAUGAUACCAGUUCAGAUGGCAUGACUGGUGAAGUCAACGGUGCUUCCUCAUGUGAAGCUGAAAAUGAAAAGAAUGCAAAAGAAAAUGAAAUAGCAUUAAGGAGGAAGUUGUCUGAAGAGGCCUUUGAUCGGCUGAAAAAUCUGGACACUGGUUUGCAUUGCAAGUCGAUGCAAGAAUUAGUUGACUUGUCACAGAACUAUUACGUGGAAGUUGCUCUUCCAAAACUGGUAUCAGAUUUUGGUUCUUUGGAGCUUUCACCAGUUGAUGGCCGUACUCUAACAGAUUUCAUGCACACAAGAGGUCUUCAGAUGCGUUCACUUGGUCAUAUUGUCAAGCUUUCAGAAAAGCUCUCGCAUGUGCAAUCACUUUGCAUACAUGAGAUGAUAGUACGGGCUUUUAAGCAUAUUCUUCGGGCUGUCAUAGCUGCUGUUGACAUUGAUAAAAUGGCUGUUUCUGUCGCUGCUACAUUAAAUCUGCUCCUUGGGGUUCCUGAAAAUGUAGAUCCACAAAAACCUUGCAAUGUCCAUUCCCUUGUCUGGAGAUGGCUGGAGCUAUUCUUAAUGAAGCGAUAUGAAUGGGACAUAAGCAGCUUCAACUACAGAGAAUUAAGAAAAUUUGCAAUUUUGCGUGGCAUGUGUCACAAGGUCGGUAUUGAACUGGUUCCACGAGAUUUUGAUAUGGACUCUCCAUUUCCGUUUCAAAAAUCAGAUGUCGUAAGCCUGGUCCCAGUGCAUAAGCAAGCAGCAUGUUCAUCCGCAGAUGGAAGGCAGCUUUUAGAGUCUUCGAAAACAGCUUUAGAUAAAGGAAAACUUGAAGAUGCUGUAACCUACGGUACUAAGGCUCUUGCAAAGCUCGUUGCAGUUUGUGGUCCCUAUCAUCGCAUGACAGCUGGAGCUUACAGCCUCCUUGCUGUAGUUCUAUAUCACACUGGUGAUUUUAAUCAGGCUACUAUUUACCAGCAAAAAGCCCUGGAUAUCAAUGAGAGAGAAUUGGGACUUGAUCACCCAGAUACAAUGAAGAGUUAUGGGGAUUUAGCGGUUUUCUAUUACAGACUUCAGCAUACAGAGUUAGCUCUGAAGUAUGUAAAACGGGCUCUCUAUCUUUUACACCUCACUUGUGGCCCCUCUCAUCCAAACACUGCUGCAACAUACAUCAAUGUGGCUAUGAUGGAGGAAGGGCUUGGAAAUGUGCAUGUUGCCCUCAGAUAUCUCCACAAAGCUCUCAAGUGUAACCAACGAUUGCUUGGCCCUGAUCAUAUUCAGACAGCAGCAAGCUACCAUGCUAUAGCCAUCGCACUCUCGCUAAUGGAAGCAUACCCUUUAAGUGUUCAACAUGAGCAGACAACUUUGCAAAUUCUGAGAGCAAAGCUGGGCCCAGACGAUCUGCGCACUCAAGAUGCUGCUGCUUGGCUAGAAUACUUUGAAUCCAAAGCUUUUGAACAACAGGAAGCUGCAAGGAAUGGUACUCGGAAGCCUGAUGCAUCAAUAGCUAGUAAAGGCCACUUAAGUGUCUCAGAUUUGCUCGACUAUAUAAAUCCCAGUCAUGAUGCCAAAGGAAGGGAUGCUGCAGCAAAGAGAAAAAACUAUAUAGUGAAGCUAAAGGGGAGAUCUGACCAUAGUGCAAGCAUGGCACACAGUGAAGAAUCUCCCCAAGAGAUCUCAAAAGAGGUUUCUGAUGAAGAGACACUUGUACUUGUACCAGGGGAUGGUCCAAGUACAGACGAGGAGACUACGACACCAGUUGAAGCCCCGCAGCCUGUUACUGAGGAAGCUGCUGAGGAAAGGCCAAAAACUGUAGAUGAUAUCAUAUCUGAACUCCACCCUGAAGGAGAAGAUGGAUGGCAAUCAGUUCAACGUCCAAGAUCAGCUGGGUCAUAUGGGCGGCGGCUGAAGCAACGUCGAGCCACUUUUGGCAAGGUUUUCAGUUACCAGAAGAUGAAUAUAGAUGUUGAGAGUGAAGCUCAUAAACUGAAGAGUAAUAAUCCAAACAGUCGAUUAUAUGUGUUAAAGAAAAGAACAAUAUCCCAUGGUAGUUAUACAGAUCAUCAUUCUAUGAAUUCCUAUCAAGGUUCCAAAUUUGGGAGGAGAAUUGUCAAAACUUUGACUUACAGGGUUAAGUCAAUUCCCUCAUCUACAGAAACUGCAACAGUGGUGUCUGCCACUGAAACUGCUGACAAGGUCAGCUUUGUAGUAGAACCUGGUAGAUCCUCAACUCCAAUUGAUGCUAGCUCAUUGAAGAAUACAAUAGUUAGCCUUGGAAAAUCACCUUCAUACAAAGAAGUGGCUGUAGCCCCACCAGGUACUAUUGCCAUGUUGCAGGUCAAGGCUCCUCAGAGUGAUACAACUGGUGCUGAGGAACUCAGAGUUGAGAUACAUGAAGAAAAAUCAAAUGAAAUGAAGGAAAUCUCUAACAUUUCUAUUGUGGAAUCUUCUGAUUUAUUGAAAGAGGAUAAACAAGUUGAGGAGAAGAAUGAUGAAACUCAGCCAGAACAUACUGUGGAAAAUAGCCCUUCUCAAAUGGUGUCUGAGCCCGUGGAAGGACUUAAGUCCUGUGUUGUUGAUGUGAAUGAAGUUGUGGAGGACAAUGUACCUGAGGAUAGCACGUCCUAUCCUGGUGGAUCUUCUGAAAGUAGACCUGCUGUGGAGGAUCUAUCAAACGACUUUGAAUCUGACAAUUUUGACUCCCAUGAACAAGCUGAGGAUUCAAAGGACAAGUCAUCAGUUUUAAGUUCUGGCGAGACUAGAGGACUCAAUAACAAGAAAUUAUCUGCUUCUGCAGCUCCAUUUAACCCAUCACCAGUUAUCAUACGUGCUGCACCCGUGGCCAUGAAUAUAACAAUUCCCGGUCCUCGUGCCAUUCCACCUAUUGCACCGUGGCCAGUAAACAUGAAUAUUCACCCAGGGCCUGCUUCAGUAUUGCCAACAAUUAAUCCAUUAUGCUCAUCUCCUCACCAACCAUAUCCAUCCCCUCCACCAACUCCUGGUAUGAUGCAAUCCAUGCCCUUUAUAUACCCUCCUUAUUCCCAACCACAGGCAAUACCAACUUACACUCAGCCUUUAUCCGUACCUGGUUAUUCCCAACCAGUACCAACCAGUACAUUUCCUGUAACCACAAGUGCUUUCCAUCCCAAUCCUUUUCCUUGGCAAUGCAGUGUGAACGGGAACCCAUCGGAACGUGUUCCAGGCACAGUUUGGCCUGGUAGCCAUCCUGUCCCAUCACCUGUUGAUCCUGCUAAUGAUUUCAUGAAAGAUUUGAAUGUCAAUGGUGACAAUUCUUUGAAAGUUCUGCCAGCAGAUAUUGACACCCUAGGAGAAGCUAAAAAGGAGAAUAAUUCUCUGACAUCUGAGCGUAUGGUUAGUGAAAAUAGAGGUGCUGGGAUUGGUUUAGAGAAUGUGGAAGAAAAGUGUCAUUCAAAUCCAUGCAUGGUUGAAACUUCAACUAUUGAACCCGUACAAAAGUCCAUUUUAAAUGGAAAUGUGAAAAGCAGUAGCGAAAAUGUAGAGGAGGAGAAAACCUUCAGCAUUUUGAUAAGGGGAAGAAGAAACCGGAAACAGACUCUCAGAGUGCCGAUUAGUUUGCUAAGUCGACCUUAUGGCUCACAGUCAUUCAAAGUAAAUUAUAACAGAGUGGUUAGAGGAAGCGAUCUUUCUAAAUUUACCAGCUAUUCAGCAAACAAAGAAUGUACAGCUAGUGCAACAUAGCUGUGGGUUAUGUCAUACUUGAAGACAGAUUGUUCAAAGAUAGAGAAGGAUAUUGCUGAUAUUAUGUCCUCUAAGCAAAUGGAGUUACUGGAACUCGAUGUCGUCUGGCUUCAUGUCUACAUAUCAUCCCUGCCUUGUCACUUUCAUGAUUCAAACAAACUCAGAGAACAAUUGAGGCAUGAUAAACAUGUGGUGAAGAAUUAAGCAGCUCUUGAGGUGAUUCUUCAUUAUAUAGUUGGAAAUUGGAUCACUUUCAUUCAAAGAUAAGUUGGUUUCUGGCUUUGGGAUAGUGAUAGCUGUGAUUUUGGUAGGGUUAGUUUAAAAGUGUAUACCACUGAUUAUUUCAUUUAUGUUUGACCCAUAAACUUUUCAUUCCCUUUCUUUCUUUUUUUUUUUUCCUUUCUUCUUCUUCUUCUUCUUCUUCAUGAUCAAGUUGAUUAGAACCUUUUUUAUGUUCUAAUGACAUAACAAUGAGCCAAAAGAAUAAGGAAUUGCUCCCAUUAAUAUCUUCAA
RNA transcript from Cucumis melo (muskmelon), 6421 nucleotides. It is a transcript of the gene named protein REDUCED CHLOROPLAST COVERAGE 1, with no coding region annotated. The transcript has 25 exons. Lineage: Eukaryota; Viridiplantae; Streptophyta; Magnoliopsida; Cucurbitales; Cucurbitaceae. The record is from RefSeq and is a predicted model, not a curated record.